CAUCACAUCCUAACACAGCACACCAGAGAGCGCAAAUACAAGCGGAAAUGCGCAUACAUUUUGCGCCGUGAAGGACGAAUAGAGGGCAUGCAAAACGGUUUGCACGCUUUUCUGCGCCUUUCUGCUCAUUUCCCUUGACAUCUGUGCAAAAUUAACUGUCUUAUGGUGCAGCUGGCGGUUAAGGCUCUGGGUUACUGAUCGGAAGGUCGGGGGUUCAAGCCCCAGCACUACCAAGCUGUCACUGUUGGGCCCCUGAGCAACGCCCUCAAUCCUCUCUUCUCCAG
Long non-coding RNA from Ictalurus punctatus (channel catfish), 284 nucleotides. NCBI's taxonomy places the organism in Eukaryota, Metazoa, Chordata, Actinopteri, Siluriformes, Ictaluridae. The record is from Ensembl.